RNAcentral lists this long non-coding RNA (917 nucleotides) under Carica papaya (papaya). RNAcentral describes it as "long non-coding RNA (CPAP_LNC008413)". The record is from RNAcentral. Lineage: Eukaryota; Viridiplantae; Streptophyta; Magnoliopsida; Brassicales; Caricaceae.
ACGAGACUAAAAAUACUGGAAGAAGAUUUAAGGAAAAUAGCAAAUGCUACUUCACAAGCAGUUUCCUAUUCCUAGCAGAUCUGACGCUAAAAACAUGGAUCAAUCUGGAAUUACAAUGAAUGAAUGAUCACAGAAACUUAACCUAGCGACAGAAAUCCUCGAAAAGCAGAGAUCUGUUAAAUGACGGUUCUUCCUUUGGUUGCUCUGGUCUGUUUCCUCUCUUACUCAAUACUUCUUUUUCUUCCCUUCUUCUUCUUCUUCUUCUUCUUCCUCCCUUUUUGAUCUUCUGCUCCUUCGUUCUCUCUGUUUUCUCCUCUUCUUCCUGUUUUUCUUCAAUCUCCAUCUGUCAUCGUCACCAUCGCCAGCGUUGAUCCCCCAUUUGCUCUGUUCUUCUGAUUUUCAGCAUCUCCAUCAUCAUCAUCAUCAUUCAACCUGCGUCAUCAUCACCACCCACUUGCGGCAUCUCCGGCCAGCAUCAUCAUCCUUCAGCCAUCUUCUGCCUUCACCAUCUCUUCCUCUCUUCUCUGUUUUCCGUCGUCUUGGGGGCGGCCGAAUGAAGGAACAAGAAGUUCAUAUCAAAAGAAGAAACAGGGCUGGGUCAGAUCCAAAAGGGCUUGAAUUUCAAAAAGGCAGAGCUCAAUCGGCUUAGGCUUGGGCUUUGGUUUUCCGAUCGGGAGAUAGACUUGAAUGAGUUUUUUGUAAAUUUUUAAAUAAUUAAUUAAAACUUAAUUAUAAAAAUUAAGUGUUAAAUAAAAGACCACAUUUUUUUUAAUUAAUUCAACCAAUUUUAAGAUGAAAACAAAGAUAUUUAUAUAUAGAAUUAAGAAAACAAAAUUUUUCUUUAAUUGUUUGCAACUGUUUCCAUUCUUCAGCCUCAAGUUACUUUCCCCUACUAUGAACUUGGUUAUUCGUGCAUU